Molecule: long non-coding RNA, 808 nt
Organism: Oreochromis niloticus (Nile tilapia)
Lineage: Eukaryota; Metazoa; Chordata; Actinopteri; Cichliformes; Cichlidae
Exons: 6
Source: RefSeq, a predicted model, not a curated record
UGUUUUAUUAUGUCAGACAACAAACAGAUGCAUUACAGCCGCACAAACGUUGAACACGAUUUUAUAAAUAUUGCUAUGGAGACGAACUAUAACUACAUAGAUAACAUAACACUCUAUAACUGUAUAACUGCGGCGUUAACACACUUAACUACUAUGUCCUUGAAGUGCUUGUAUGACUGGCUGUCUCAUGAUGACCCUGCACGGUCCCAGAAGGAGGGGAGAUGGAGGCAGGGGGCAGGUGCUAAAAAACUGCUCCCACCUUUCCUCUCCGUGCGUCCUAAGGAGUCUUUACUGUGAUGAAACAGUUCACACUGCUCCAUCAUCAGCGGGUCCAGGCCCUCCUGCCCUGAAGAUGGAGAAGAAAAUCUUUAGAAAGAUUUGUCGAUUUGAGAUUCAGCUCUGCCCUCUGGUGGACACCACACUGCUAGAGGACUGGGAUUACCCGCCCUACACACAAACACACACACAAAACCAUAGUGAGAAAGAGGGAGAGCAGGUUGUUGGUGAGCUUUAGGCUGUCGAAGGACACAGUCUGCUUCAUCCACUGGGCUCCACGGGCAGGGAUAAAAUCCAUGAGAAGAACAUAUUCGGCAGAGGGAUCCAUCCCAGAGAUCCGUACCUGGAAUGUCGGAAACAUCCGCCUGCAAGUUAACAAACAGAUUCUAGUGAGAGCUGGUCAAACUGCUGCCAAAGUGCCUGCAUCUCCAGCUGAACUCUGACCCCACUGAUCUGGGGGCACUUUGUGCUCGACAGUGACCCUUCAUCUGCGCAGCAGGGUAGAGACAGAUCACAGCUCUGAGACAGCUGA